GGGAGUAAAAGUCGUAACAAGGUUUCCGUAGGUGAACCUGCGGAAGGAUCAUUAACAAAUAAAAAUAAUCCACCUUUUGGGUGAAAAAUUAUUUAUUUUUCUCCCAUAAGCAACCAUGUGAAAAUUAUGUUAAAGUUUAUACCAGGAUCCAAUAGCCUUUGGGCUUUGGAACCAAUUUUAAAACAACCAAAAAGUUUAACACUUUGUCUUAUUUCUUAUUUCAUUUGGGCCUUCGGGUUUUCAACUGAAAAAUAAAACAUUGAAAAACAACUUUUAACAACGGAUAUCUUGGCUCUU
RNAcentral lists this unclassified non-coding RNA (297 nucleotides) under plant metagenome. Its description in RNAcentral is "partial contains small subunit ribosomal RNA, internal transcribed spacer 1, and 5.8S ribosomal RNA". The stretch from base 1 to 54 matches the Rfam family "Eukaryotic small subunit ribosomal RNA", at positions 1778 to 1831 of the family's 1831-position model. The record is from RNAcentral.